Salmo salar (Atlantic salmon) is the source of this 72-nucleotide non-coding RNA. Lineage: Eukaryota; Metazoa; Chordata; Actinopteri; Salmoniformes; Salmonidae. The record is from Rfam.
UCCUGUGUGGCUCAGUUGGUAGAGCAUGGUGCUUGCAAUGCCAGGUUUUUGGGUUCAGUUCCCACGGGGGAC